Long non-coding RNA from Symphalangus syndactylus (siamang), 894 nucleotides. RefSeq lists it as uncharacterized. NCBI's taxonomy places the organism in Eukaryota, Metazoa, Chordata, Mammalia, Primates, Hylobatidae. The record is from RefSeq and is a predicted model, not a curated record.
AGAGAGAUGGCGUAUUUCAAAUUGAGACCAUUCGAUCCAGGGGCUGGUCAUCAAGAUGGAGCAGGGUAUGGAGAAGCCAUUAGGGAUGAUACAGAACAGCACCAAAGGAGCUCCUUCUGCGAUUCUCUAUUGGCUGAACUCCGCCAGAAGCUUCCAGGGGAGACCCCCACAACUGGAUGCAGCUCACUGAAGUCAGCUUCCUGGGGUGCGUAGCCGAAGGUAGCAGGGUGCAAAAAGAAUCUGGAGGGGCAAGUGAACAAUGUAGAGCAUAUCUGUGCUGAAGAUGUAAGGAGAGAGUGGGGGUCAGAAGCUGGCACAGUCCCUGGUGCAUGUGUCAGCCGCUAAAGAAGUGGAGAGUAUGAACAUAAGCAAGAGGAAGUGAUGAGCAUCCCUUCCAGGAGAACUUUAAGAGCCAGUGUGUGAUUUGCUGGGCUCCCAAGCCCUCUGCUCUGAUGACAGCAAAGCCCCAAAUCAUGAUGCCUCCAUCAGUCUGGACCCCUCAGCAGAGCCAGCUUCACAGCUGGAGUGGAUGAAUCAGAACUUUCUCCAUGGGAGCAUUUAUAAAGAGGGGACACCCAGCGCAGAAGACGUUUUCCAGGGAGAUCUCGGGGAGCCCAACAAGCCAAGAAGAGCAGAGCAAAGCAUUCCAAGGAAGGAAUCUAAGUCUGCAACAGAGCAUGCAUGAGAAGCAAGACUGACCUCCUUGGACCAGACUUUCUGGACAAUUUGCUGGCAGAGGAAGAGACCACAAGAGGAAAAAAGUGGACUUCCUGCACAAGGAAAGACCACGUGAACACACAGCAAGAACGUGGUGCUCUGCAAGUCAGAAACAGACCCUUCAUCAGAUACCAAAUCAGCCAGCACCUUGAUCUAAGAUUUCUGGUCUCCAAAACA